This is a small nucleolar RNA of Suncus etruscus (white-toothed pygmy shrew), 69 nucleotides long. RefSeq annotates it as small nucleolar RNA SNORD2. The record is from RefSeq and is a predicted model, not a curated record. NCBI's taxonomy places the organism in Eukaryota, Metazoa, Chordata, Mammalia, Eulipotyphla, Soricidae. The transcript has a single exon.
UUCUGAAGUGAUGGCAAUCAUCUUUUGGGACUGAUCUGAACUGAAGACCAUACCAAAAAAAAUUCUGCA